Long non-coding RNA from Pyrgilauda ruficollis (rufous-necked snowfinch), 578 nucleotides. RefSeq lists it as uncharacterized. The record is from RefSeq and is a predicted model, not a curated record. Lineage: Eukaryota; Metazoa; Chordata; Aves; Passeriformes; Passeridae. The transcript is spliced from 3 exons.
AAGUGCCUUGACCUCGAUAUUUUUGGGUCUCUUCAUUUGCUAAAGAGGUCAGGGUGAAAGGGUGAGUUUGUUUAUCCCGAGCUCAGCACUGCUGAGGACCUGGCUGGCUCUUUGUGCUGAGUCACGGCCCGCUGGCCGCCUGCGCUGUCCAAGCCCCGGGAACCUUUCUGUCCCAGUUCACAUCCUCGCAGUCCCGCUGGCCUUGGCAGGCUGGCGAGGCUGCACCGUGCUCCCAUCACUAUCUUCUAAAUGGCCUGGAUGUGGCUGUGCCUGAGCACUGGCUAACGAUGCCUCACUGCCCAGCCCAGGAUUUCUUGGAUCCAGACAGGACUUGCUGCUGAGAGCUCAGGCAGAUGAAAGUGGGCGUUGAGGUGAAGAAAUAAUCCUGUUGGAGGGUGCUGAGCUGAUCCCAGCCAGCCUGGUGUUCCUGGUACAUCCCACAUGGCCUGUUGGAAGAGCUGCUGUCCCAGACUGGGCUCGAGCUGCUUGCACUGGAAUUCACGUUGUUUUCUGUUGUCUCACAAGGACAGAUCCCCUUGUAGCACUGUAGUGUUUAUUUUACAAUUCCCAAAGCUGUG